This is a long non-coding RNA of Scylla paramamosain (green mud crab), 3718 nucleotides long. RefSeq lists it as uncharacterized. NCBI's taxonomy places the organism in Eukaryota, Metazoa, Arthropoda, Malacostraca, Decapoda, Portunidae. The transcript is spliced from 2 exons. The record is from RefSeq and is a predicted model, not a curated record.
GGAAGGAAUUUAUCCCAUUCAAAUUAAUGAAAAAGAAUUAAUCCUUUCCAGGUCCCAAAAUCCCCCUAUUUUUUUCUCUCAUUUUGAUAAGUUUAUAUUGUGCAUUAAACAUAGAAUUUAUAUUGUCCAUUAAACAUAGAAUUUAAUUAAAAAUAACCUAAAUUAUAGAAAAAUUACAGUUAAAAAAAAAUGAAAUACUGUAUAUUUCAGCAUAUAAGACAGCACUUGAAUCAUCCUCAAAAAGAUACAAAAAACUUGAUCAUCCUAUAUGUCCGAUACAAAACAAUGACCUUAAAAUUUUUGGCAAAAUACCAUUGUAAAUAAACACCAACCUCAAAAUGAUGAGUCAUUUAAAGUUCCUUGAAAACAGUUGUAGUGUACACAAUUUUUAUUUUGCAUUAAAAUUCUCUCUCUCUCUCUCUCUCUCUCUCUCUCUCUCUCUCUCUCUCUCUCUCUCUCUCUCUCUCUCUCUCUCUCUCUCUCUCAGUAAGAACAAUCCUGAAAAUUGCUAAAUAGAAUGAGACAGAGAGAAUGAAAAAAUGAGAGUGAGAAAUGAUGAAGCAAAAAUUAAAUAGAAUGAAUGAAGAGGGGAGAGAGAGCCAGGUACUCCUCCCUUGUCUCUAGCAGAUAAAGGAGAUUGGAGAUAACAUGGAGGGAGGUUUGAGGAGGGUAAGGAAAGGAAUGAUGGAAGGAAGGGAUGGAAGGAGGGAGGGUGGGUGGGAUAGAUAAGAAGGAAAUGGGGAGGGAUGGGGGAAAAGGGCAAGGAUGGGAGAGGGAGGGCAAGGAAUGGGGGAGCAGGAACACAUGAGGAAUUAUAUAGUGACUGAGUGGCAUCACUUGAACAGGUGUUUGUGUUCGAACUGGAGGCCAAAAUUUAUUUGCCAACCCUGUUCGAAUUGGGAGUUGUUCGAAUUGAAGUAUGUUGAAAUCAUGAGGUAUGACUAUAUAUAUAUAUAUAUAUAUAUAUAUAUAUAUAUAUAUAUAUAUAUAUAUAUAUAUAUAUAUAUAUAUAUAUAUAUAUAUAUAUAUGAUCUCUCUCACCCCAGACCCAGAGUAUGUUUAGUCAUACACAAGUCCUCAUUCAGUCACUCAUUCACUCUCUAAUUUGUUGAGAGGAAUAAGGCUGGCUUUUGCAUAUUUGGAUGAAGAGAUGAUCAGAAAGAUGAUUAUAUCACUGAUUAGACCUAGACUGGAAUAUGCAGCUGUAUUGUGGUCCCCCUACAAGAUAAAAGGAUACAAGGAAGUUGGAGAGAGUUCAGAGAGCAGCAACAAAGAUGGUACCAAGUAUCAGGGACUUGUCAUGUGAAGAGAUAUUGGCAAGGUUAUCCCACCCCCAACAUUAGAUAAAAAGAGAGAAAGAGGAAACUUGAUUGCAAUAUAUGAGGUGCCCAGAGCCAGAGUGAGUAAGUGACCUUGUGGCCAAAAUUAUUAUUAUUAUUGCAUUGUCUUCCUCAACCUUCCUACUAUGAUGGAAAAGAGCAUGGAUGUAAGAAUGGACCCCGCAACAUGAUCAAAAAUCCAUCCAAGUGAAAUUAUCCACGGAACCUUCUUGCUGCACUUGAGUGAUAACUAUCAGUUGCUGGGGCAAGAGAGAGAAGUAACCCCCUUACCACAGCACCACAGGAAGAGCCAGCUAAUGACAGCUCAUGCUGUGAUUCAUGUGUCACACUGGGACACUUCCCUACCACCACACCCACAGGCUUCACGCUCUUCCUCCCUCCCGUCUGUUUGCUACCCAUGAAUAACAGGUUGCUGUCUUAAUUUUCCUUUUACACAACUUAUAAACCUUUCAUUAUUAUGACAGACAAAAGUGUACCCCCUGAGGAGCCAGGACCUCCAGAGGAAAGAAAAGGGUGCAUAAUCCUGGAAGAAAAAUGUCACUAAAAGACAAAGAAACAUGGGGGAAUCCUAAGUGAGCCACCGAAGCAUUGGAUGACUUUAUUAUUUCUGUAUAUUCUAUUAUCCUUUAUACUGGUAUAUUUAUAUAAUGUUUACUUGUUCUUUUGUUUUAGUUUGUUCCUGUUACUUUUUUUUUUUUAAGCUCAUAUCAUUCUCUUCAUUUGUGUUCAUCUUAGGAAGUAUAUGCAUAUAUGUUACUUAAUUUUACUUCAGCAACCCACCGCUAUUGCUGGAGAGGCUCCACAUGAGAUACACAAAGAUCAAGCAUCAAGGUACCGACAGUGACGCUUUGUUCUCGGUACAGGCAAGAUGUGUUUGUCUUACUGCGGCGGUUUGCCAUUUUGGCAUUAGUUACCCGUUAUCUGAAUUUCAGAGCGGGUUGGCACUUAUUUUACACCUUACUCACUUUGUUUUACCUUACUUUAUUACCCCGUGAUCCUGUUGGAGCGGGAAGAGUGCCUGGUGUUCCUUUCCUGUUAUCCAUGAGGAGCGGGAGGACACGGUGUUGAACAAGUGUAAUUGGAAAGAUGCUGCAGAAAAUACAGGAGGACAGGGCUACUGUGAUAUCUAUCCUUUGGCCAACCCAGAUAUGGUAUGGUUCCCAUUAGCACUACAGCUGCUGGCAGAAACCCAAUUCCUUCUCCCUCAAGAGCCCUUGGUCUUGCCAUGAGAUCUGAGUCUCAAACUCCAACAGGAGCCCAAGUUGAGAAUGACUUCAAUAAUCCUAUUGGGCAAACUUUUACAAACCAAUGCCUUUCAAGGCAGGUUGCUGAAUUUCUUUUUAAGUCCUGGAGAAAAAGCAGAAAACUGCAAUAUGGAUUUUAUAUAAAAAGAUGGAUGUCAGUUUGUGUCAGCAGGGAAAUUGAUCCUUUUCUGCCACCUUUAAAUUUUCUACUGCAAUUUUUAUUAUGUGAAUUUAAGGAGAAAGGAUGGGACUUUAGCACAAUGAAGACCAUUCAAUCAGCUAUUUCAGCAAUAGCCACUAUUAAUGACAAACCCAUUAGUAAAAUGGUUCAUGAAAGCAGUUUUUCAAGAUUGACCUUGUUUUCCUUAACACCAUACUACCUGAGAUCCAGAGCUAGUUUUGAACCACAUUAAAAGUUUCAGAUCAAACAAAAAUUUAUCCUUAAUUGAGCUAUCUAAAAAUAUUGGUAAUGUUGAUGUUAUUGGUUUGUGGACAAUGUGGACAAACCUUACACUUAUUAGAUGCCAAAAACAUGUCCAUUGCUGCAUCUUGGUAUCCUUUAGAAUAGGAGACUUACUUCAAACAUCUAGAGCAGGGAGCCAUCUCUCAGAAAUAGUCUUUAAGGCUUAUGCUCUAGACAGACAUAUGUGUGUCUAUACAUCUAAACUAAGUUAUCUGAAAAGAACUGAAGGCAUCAGGGGUAAAAUCACUAGGUUUAUCCUGAUUACUAAGCCCCCUAUUAAAAUUUACCUCCAGAGACACAUUAAGACACUGGACUAGGGAUGUCCACUGGACUAGGGAUGUUUGCACCUCAUUCCACCAGAUAUGCUUUUUCUAGCAAAGCAGAAAUGACACAUCUGUUGUCUACAAUCCUGGAAACUGUGGGCUGGUCCCAGGGAUCCACCUUUGCCAAAUAUUACAAAAAACCUUUCUGCAGACAGGGUCAGUUUGGUGAAGCAAUGCUAUCAUAAUUCUUAAUAGAUUUGUUGGACUUUAUUGUAUAUAUUUUCUCUCAUUAGGACUUGUGGUUACAGAAAUUCUGUUCUACUCCAGAAAUUGUUUUUAAAUGGGACUGACUUUGGCAUUUGUAUUGAUUAUACAAAAUACACAAAUAAAUGGUUAAUUUCAUGCAUA